Pangasius djambal is the source of this 71-nucleotide non-coding RNA. The record is from the annotation of a GenBank genome assembly. Lineage: Eukaryota; Metazoa; Chordata; Actinopteri; Siluriformes; Pangasiidae.
GCCUGGCUAGCUCAGUCAGUAGCACGAGGCUCCUAAUCUCAGGGUCGUGGGUUUGAGCCCCCUAUCGGGCA